Molecule: long non-coding RNA, 1118 nt
Filed under: Homo sapiens (human)
Lineage: Eukaryota; Metazoa; Chordata; Mammalia; Primates; Hominidae
Description: HSALNT0192180
Source: RNAcentral
AGACUUAUAAACAGAUAACUGACAGUACCCUCUAUGAGCUAUGAAGGAAUGGAAGAAGCAAUUAAUCAUCCUUGGGGAAGACACUUCACAUAUGAGCUGGAAUUUGCAAGGUCUCAACUGAAAUACAACUCUCUCAAGAUGCCUGGAUAAAUCACCUCCUCCCAGUCCAGUUUCCUCAUCGUUUUAAUAGAGGGGUGGAUUUUGAAAAUUUCUUCUGACAUUCUGAAGAGCUUCUUCUGUGGUCAUUUUUUUAUGAAGUAAUUAGAAACUGAGAUACUUCUCCAGAAUAAAUUGUUGGCUUUUGGGAUAGUGGAAUGGAAGAAUGGAAGAAUCCAUUACAGCAAGUGAUUCCUGAGGAUGCCAGAACCUCCCUUUUAUGAAGCCUUCUUCUUCUUCCAUCUGACUUUAUCUCUACAAGGAUAGAACAGAUGAGCUAAACUGGUAGGCUUUUUUCCCUACGAUUUAGUUUAAUAAAAUUACUUAUACAUUAGAAUUGGAUAGAACUAAGUUGAUAUUAUAAUCUCACUACUUAUUAAGUAUUCUUAAACAAAUAGUUUAACAUUCAUUAAUUUUAAUUCUUUCAUCUAAAACUUGGAGGCUGUCCUGGAAAAUCAUGAGAUACAGUAAACACCGUAAAAAUGUUAGCAAUUUUAAAUAAUAAUUAAAUCUAAGAGCAUGCUUUUCUUCAGUUAGAGUGGCAGAUGUUUUGAUGUCUUUCUUAUAGAAGUUCAGCAAAUAUUUAAAAUUACUACAGACAAUCACUGUUUUUGGUUCAGAAUGGGCAUCAUGACUUGAUAAAGGAUAUACUUUCUGUAAAUGGUGAAUUUAUUUAUUAAAAUGUUUUUAAGUGUCGAAACACCUGGUAAUUAAAUGGCCUUUGUUCUAAAUAAAUACAAUUUAAUAGAAUUAGGACAAUUGUGGACACUCCAGGAUAUAAAAUAUUUACUGACAAAUAUGGGUGGUGCUUCAGUGACCAAAAAAAAAAAAAAAAAAAAAGAUUACAGAAUCUACCUAGUAUUUUCUCUGAGUCUGCUUAACUUUCUUACUUUAAACUGAACUUUAAAAAAUAAAAAUAAAAACCCAAAACAAAACAUCUUUUUUGAACUUGCUAAAGAAUA